Molecule: long non-coding RNA, 376 nt
Filed under: Sus scrofa (pig)
Lineage: Eukaryota; Metazoa; Chordata; Mammalia; Artiodactyla; Suidae
Description: lncRNA (ENSSSCG00070007968.1)
Source: RNAcentral
GUGGUACUAAUAGGCGCUGGCUCCAGAUUUUGUUGAGAUGAUCAAGAGGAAGCCUAAUCCAAUGCCUCAUAUUGCUUUGGGAUUCCUUAUCGAAGGAGAUCCUUGGAGAGCUCCCAGAUGUGGCCGUCUGAAGAGUGUCACAUUGUCUACAGUUGUACCUGCCAGAGAAAUCCUCCUUCUUCCCUUAGAAUUUCUGAUGCUGGAGAGAUCUGAGAGUUCUCGGAAAAUGUUUAAAGUCACCAGCCAAGACUGGAGCAUGCAGGAUCUUGAUAAUCCUCUUGGCAGUAGGCACCACACCCGUCAUGGCUUACCUCGAUGCCAUGCCCUGUAUGCCACUGUCACCAGCCUUCCUCUGGGGAUCUUUUCACCAGACUGA